Phoenix dactylifera (date palm) is the source of this 1447-nucleotide non-coding RNA. The record is from RefSeq and is a predicted model, not a curated record. Lineage: Eukaryota; Viridiplantae; Streptophyta; Magnoliopsida; Arecales; Arecaceae.
UUAAAAAUACGAAAGGCAAGAUCAUAAAAAAUGUAAAAGAAACAAAAACUGGUAUGAUAUUUAUGAAGAUGAGAAGUUAGCAGAAGCAUGACAAAAAUAAGUCAUUCAAUCUUGUCCCAGCAUCAUUGACAUUAAAAAAGCAUUCAAUCUUUACAAAAAGCUAAACAUAAGGAAUACAAGUUAUCUGUUCAUUCAUCUAAUACCAGCAAUAUUCAAAAAGCAUUUAAUCUUUACAAAGACAAGGAAUACAAGUCAAAUCAUCCAAAUUUAUAUAUGGAAUACUAUCUGCUUCACAUAGAACAAAUGUUAAUAUACAUGAUCGCCUCUGAUGCUAGGAAAGCAUGGUACUUCUUAGCAAGCUUUUUGACCAGCUUCUUGAUUGCACACUGGAAAUAAGUCACAACCAUGAAACAACACCACUUUCCAUUUUUCUUUGCAGAUGAACAAUUAUUGUAGAAACGAAUAACAUGACGAAGAAAUUAAAAUCCAUGAACUUUACAGAGUCCCAACCCAUCAACCCUCAAAAUUACAACAGCUCAUUUUUCUUCCUCGUGCCUAACAUUUGUAAUGGACAAAACUAUCAACAGCAAAAGAACACAAAAAAGAAAAGUACAAAUGAAUGGAGAAGUCUCUCAAAACAUGGAGGACCUGAAAGAAGGAUGCAAGUACUCCAACCACAGGAAGGCCCAGAUGUUAUAAAGUCGCUGUUGCAUUGGGGUCCUGCAUUGGAGGCAUCAGUUUACUAGUUUUCGGCGUUGGGCUAUUUUUCUGGUGGAGACAAAAACAUAACCGACAGAUCUUUUCGAUGUUGAUGACCCACAUAAUGAGGAAGUUUGCCUGGGAAACUUAAAGAGGUUUCAGUUCAGGGAGCUCCAGAUUGCAACAGAUAACUUCAGUAGCAAAAAUAUUCUAGGAAAAGGUGGCUUCGGAAAUGUCUACAAAGGUCAGCUCCCUGAUGGAACUUUAGUAGCGGUAAAAAGGCUCAAGGAUGGAAAUGCUGCGGGUAGAGAGAUCCAGUUUCAGACUGAAGUGGAGAUGAUAAGUUUGGCAGUGCACAGAAACCUCCUCAGAUUGUAUGGAUUCUGUAUGACUGCUACUGAGAAACUUCUAGCGUAUCCUUAUAUGUCCAAUGGAAGUGUUGCUUCCCGACUCAAAGGUGGAAACGAUCCCGGAAUGAAUGUUGAAAUGAUCCCGGACCUCAUCGCGGCGGCUCCACCUACGACCAAUUCGCGGCCUUAGCAGAGGGGGGAGGAAGAACCCUCUCUGCCUUGCCUACCCGCAGCAGGGGAAGGAAAAGAACCCCUCAGAGGAGGGAAGGAAGAAUCCUAGUGCGGCCGUCGACAACUGCGGCCACGGCGGCGAUCAAGCGCGGCGCCUGAUCCACAGGCGGAGACCCUAGGUAGGUUCCUUCCCCCUUCCUCUUCCUCUUCUUCUUUUCUUUUAUUUU